UACGGGGGGGGCAAGCGUUGUUCGGAAUUACUGGGCGUAAAGGGCUCGUAGGUGGCCAACUAAGUCAGACGUGAAAUCCCUCGGCUUAACCGGGGAACUGCGUCUGAUACUGGAUGGCUAGAGAUUGGGAGAGGGAUGCGGAAUUCCAGGUGUAGCGGUGAAAUGCGUAGAUAUCUGGAGGAACACCGGUGGCGAAGGCGGCGACCUGGGUCGAGACUGACGCUGAGGCGCGAAAGCGUGGGGAGCGAACAGG
RNAcentral lists this ribosomal RNA (253 nucleotides) under uncultured bacterium. RNAcentral describes it as "partial 16S ribosomal RNA". It matches the Rfam family "Bacterial small subunit ribosomal RNA", at positions 524 to 776 of the family's 1533-position model. The record is from RNAcentral.